RNAcentral lists this non-coding RNA (21 nucleotides) under Caenorhabditis elegans. Lineage: Eukaryota; Metazoa; Nematoda; Chromadorea; Rhabditida; Rhabditidae. The record is from RNAcentral.
UUUGUACACUGCAACAAGUAA